This 253-nucleotide ribosomal RNA is filed under the name uncultured bacterium. Its description in RNAcentral is "partial 16S ribosomal RNA". It matches the Rfam family "Bacterial small subunit ribosomal RNA", at positions 524 to 776 of the family's 1533-position model. The record is from RNAcentral.
UACGUAGGGUGCGAGCGUUAAUCGGAAUUACUGGGCGUAAAGCGUGCGCGGGCGGUUUUGUAAGCCAGAUGUGAAAUCCCCGGGCUUAACCUGGGAAUGGCAUUUGGGACUGCAAGGCUUGAGUGCGGCAGAGGAGACUGGAAUUCCUGGUGUAGCGGUGAAAUGCGCAGAUAUCAGGAGGAACACCGAUUGCGAAGGCAGCUCGCUGGAACGUUACUGACGCUGAGACGCGAAAGCGUGGGGAGCAAACAGG